AGCACGAGUAGUGCGGCAGGGACGUACGUAAGCCUACAUAUACACGUACAUGUACGAGUACAGGUGUCGUUACCGUAGCAGCGGUGAGUUUCCCGUGCUGCCUAUCCUUCUUAGCUGUCACCAGUCUGCUCUGCUAAGAUGCCAACUGUCAUUGGUUUUGAGGGAAGCGCCAAUAAGCUUGGCAUUGGAAUCGUUAGAGAUGGAGUAGUGUUAUCUAACCCAAGACACACCUACAUCACACCACCAGGCCAUGGAUUCAUGCCAAGAGAGACUGCCAAGCAUCACCAGGCUCAUGCCAUCGAAAUUCUGAAGAAAUGCAUGGAGGAGGCUGGACUGAAACCAGACGAUAUUGAUUGCGUUUGCUACACCAAAGGGCCAGGAAUGGCAGCCCCUCUGAUAUCUACCGCCGUUGUGGCGAGGACUAUUGCUCAGCUGUGGGAUGUUCCUAUCAUUGGAGUCAACCACUGCAUCGGGCACAUAGAAAUGGGAAGGCUUGUAACUGGUUCCCACAACCCGACUGUGUUGUAUGUUAGUGGGGGAAACACACAGGUCAUUGCCUAUUCACAGCACAGGUAUCGUAUCUUUGGUGAAACCAUUGACAUCGCUGUGGGGAACUGUCUAGAUAGAUUUGCAAGAAUACUCAAGUUAUCAAAUGACCCAAGUCCAGGAUACAACAUCGAACAAAUGGCUAAGAAGGGAAAGGUGUACAUUGAGUUACCCUACACGGUCAAGGGCAUGGACGUCUCCUUCUCUGGUAUCCUCUCCUACAUCGAGAACGUGGCUCACAAAAAGUUGACGGCAGGAGAAUGUACACCAGAAGACCUUUGCUUCUCCUUACAGGAGACAUUGUUUGCCAUGCUUGUAGAGAUAACAGAGAGAGCCAUGGCGCAUUGCAACUCCAACGAGGUACUCAUUGUCGGAGGUGUUGGCUGCAACGAGAGAUUGCAGCAGAUGAUGAGGGACAUGGCCGUGGAGAGAGGAGCAGUGGUGUGUGCGACAGAUGAGAGGUACUGUAUUGAUAAUGGAGCCAUGAUAGCCCAAGCUGGAUGGGAAAUGUAUCACUCAGGAUAUAGGACUCCUCUUGAGGAAACAUGGUGUACUCAGAGAUACCGAACUGAUGAAGUUGAAAUCACGUGGAGAAAAUAACAGUCAACAUGUAGCCAAUGGUAAGAGGGCUGCCUGUGUUUGUUGGCCUCCCCCCCAGGCAGAGUCAUGAGGCGCUGUUUGUUCAAGACUUUCUGACAGUUUGUGGGAAAAGCAUCAAACUCACAAGGUGAGGUUUGAAGCCGUGACAACCUGCUGAGAUUGGUGUCACCGUUAACAGGUGUGAUGGAGGAUUGUUACAGCCUAAACCAAUGAGACAGCGGGCAGAAAGACAGCGCUCAGCUGGCUACUGACCUGUGACUGGAGGCAGCUAGGAAGAACUGGCUGCUUGGAGAUGAAAAUAAGCAAAGAAAAACCCUAGCAACACAUCAGAAGAUUCAAUGCACUGUGAACAGGUCAAUUAAGGUGGAGUUAAGAAUAAUAUCUGUUGAACUUUGAAAAAAGUGGGCUGUGUUGUAAUUACAUGGCUAUGCAACCAGAAUCGUUAGAGGGUGCCCUCGGGAGACCACACUGUUAGGUAUUAUAAAUUAAUACGAGUAGAAGAUUACUUGAAUUCAAUCAUGUUUGGCAAAAAUCAGAAAAAAACAGACACAGCUGUGACCACUUUGUUGUAUUUUUUCCUGUACAAUUCAUUGCAUUGAGAUAAUUUUAUUACUCUUACAUUAAAAGUUGAUCCAUCACAGUUUCCAAGUGGCCCAAACUUGGAAACUGUGAUAUUUGGGGCAUUUUGGCAAGGAAAAGAGGCUUAGAACCUAGGAGAAUAGGUUUGAAUGAAAUGCGCUCAACUUUCUGGUGUUUAUGACUUUUCAUAGUAAGCUUCUUGCAAGUUAAAUUUGAAUAAAAUCUGGUGCAGUGUGUUUUUCAAAUUCAGUGAACUUUCUUUGAAUUCUCCAUA
Molecule: unclassified non-coding RNA, 1999 nt
Filed under: Acanthaster planci (crown-of-thorns starfish)
Lineage: Eukaryota; Metazoa; Echinodermata; Asteroidea; Valvatida; Acanthasteridae
Description: probable tRNA N6-adenosine threonylcarbamoyltransferase, transcript variant X1
Source: RNAcentral